GAUGAAGAACGUAGCGAAAUGCGAUAAGUAAUGUGAAUUGCAGAAUUCAGUGAAUCAUCGAAUCUUUGAACGCAUCUUGCGCUCCUUGGUAUUCUGAGGAGCAUGCCUGUUUGAGUGUCAUUAAAUUCUCAACCGCACUGACUUUGAAUUGGUGUGGCUUGGAUUUGGGGGGAAAAUUGUUGUGGGCUUUUUUGUAUAGUCUUCUCCCCUGAAAUUGAUUAGCGGUACCUUUGUGGAACUGUCUACAGGUGUGAUAAUUAUCUACAUCCUAGACAUCUGCUGGAAUGCUGCUUUCUAAACCUUACUUGUAUUGACAAUCUUGACCUCAAAUCAGGUAGGACUACCCGCUGAACUUAAGCAUAUCAAUAAGCGGAGGA
RNAcentral lists this unclassified non-coding RNA (377 nucleotides) under soil metagenome. RNAcentral's name for it is "partial contains 5.8S ribosomal RNA, internal transcribed spacer 2, and large subunit ribosomal RNA". The stretch from base 1 to 120 matches the Rfam family "5.8S ribosomal RNA", at positions 35 to 154 of the family's 154-position model. The record is from RNAcentral.